Molecule: ribosomal RNA, 250 nt
Filed under: uncultured bacterium
Lineage: Bacteria
Description: partial 16S ribosomal RNA
Rfam family: Bacterial small subunit ribosomal RNA
Source: RNAcentral
UACGAAGGGAGCUAGCGUUGUUCGGAAUUACUGGGCGUAAAGCGCAUGCAGGCGGAUCGUUAAGUCGGGGGUGAAAUCCCAGGGCUCAACCCUGGAACUGCCUUCGAUACUGGCGAUCUUGAGUCCGGGAGAGGUGAGUGGAACUCCGAGUGUAGAGGUGAAAUUCGUAGAUAUUCGGAAGAACACCAGUGGCGAAGGCGGCUCACUGGCCCGGUACUGACGCUGAGAUGCGAAAGCGUGGGGAGCAAAC